RNAcentral lists this ribosomal RNA (253 nucleotides) under uncultured bacterium. RNAcentral's name for it is "partial 16S ribosomal RNA". It matches the Rfam family "Bacterial small subunit ribosomal RNA", at positions 524 to 776 of the family's 1533-position model. The record is from RNAcentral.
GACAGAGGGUGCAAACGUUGUUCGGAAUUACUGGGCGUAAAGCGCACGUAGGCGGAUUGUUAAGUCAGGGGUGAAAUCCUGGAGCUCAACUCCAGAACUGCCUUUGAUACUGGCGAUCUCGAGUCCGGGAGAGGUGAGUGGAACUGCGAGUGUAGAGGUGAAAUUCGUAGAUAUUCGCAAGAACACCAGUGGCGAAGGCGGCUCACUGGCCCGAUACUGACGCUGAGGCACGAAAGCGUGGGGAGCAAACAGG